UUACCUACGGGGGGCAGCAGUCGGGAAUAUUGCGCAAUGGAGGAAACUCUGACGCAGUGACGCCGCGUGCAGGAAGAAGGUUUUCGGAUUGUAAACUGCUUUAGACAGGGAAGAUAAUGACAGUACCUGUAGAAUAAGCUCCGGCUAACUACGUGCCAGCAGCCGCGGUAAUACGUAGGUGGCAAGCGUUGUCCGGAAUUACUGGGUGUAAAGGGAGCGCAGGCGGGAAGCCAAGUCAGCUGUGAAAACUACGGGCUUAACUAGUAGACUGCAGUUGAAACUGGUUUUCUUGAGUGAAGUAGAGG
RNAcentral lists this ribosomal RNA (305 nucleotides) under uncultured bacterium. RNAcentral's name for it is "bacterial SSU rRNA". It matches the Rfam family "Bacterial small subunit ribosomal RNA", at positions 335 to 657 of the family's 1533-position model. The record is from RNAcentral.